GUUUUAUUAUAGUUCUUAUUAAUUAAUUACUAAUUGUAAAAUUAUAUUGUGGUAAAUAAACCAAAGUAUUUGAUUCAAUGGAAUACCUUAUUGAGAUUAUCAACACGACGUUGCAGUGGAUGGAUUCUCGUGAGUUUAGUGUCCAGGUAAAUUUCCGCACAACGAGAAAGGCAGAGUUUCAGGGGCACGGGGCUCGAACUUUCGCAAAGCUAGCGACUUUGCAGAUUCCUCCAAGAAUGAACAGCCUGAGACAUGCCCAAAGGUCAGGAUCAGGACUAAUGACAUUAGUCGUUAGAUCUGUCGAAUGUUAAUCAUAUUUUUUCUACAACGUAUUGUUUAUGGGUUCGUUUGAAUUGUAAACUUCAUUCUUUCUCUCAAAUGAUAGAAUAACUAAUCUUUUUGAUUUAAAAUUUUGCC
Molecule: long non-coding RNA, 417 nt
Filed under: Androctonus crassicauda
Lineage: Eukaryota; Metazoa; Arthropoda; Arachnida; Scorpiones; Buthidae
Source: RNAcentral